AACUUUUAUUUACACCCAAAUCGCCAGGGAACUACGAGCCAAGCUUAAAACCCAAAGGACUUGACGGUACCCCAUAUCCCCCUAGAGGAGCCUGUCCUAUAAUUGAUAAUCCACGUUUAACCUCACCAUUUCUAGUUAAUCAGCCUGUAUACCUCCGUCGUCAGCUUACCACGUGAGCGCUAAUUAGUGAGCCUAAUGUUAUUUCACCAAUACGUCAGGUCAAGGUGCAGCAAAUGAAGUGGGAAGAGAUGGGCUACACUUUCUAUAUUAGAAAAAACGAAAAACUAUCUAUGAAACCUAGUUAGAAGGCGGAUUUAGUAGUAAAAAGGAAUCAGCAUGUCCAUUUUAACCCGGCACUGGGGUGUGU
RNAcentral lists this ribosomal RNA (367 nucleotides) under Barbarophryne brongersmai (Tiznit toad). RNAcentral describes it as "partial 12S ribosomal RNA". It matches the Rfam family "Bacterial small subunit ribosomal RNA", at positions 875 to 1384 of the family's 1533-position model. Lineage: Eukaryota; Metazoa; Chordata; Amphibia; Anura; Bufonidae. The record is from RNAcentral.